This 1744-nucleotide long non-coding RNA is filed under the name Canis lupus familiaris (dog). Its description in RNAcentral is "lncRNA (ENSCAFG00030022065.1)". The record is from RNAcentral. Lineage: Eukaryota; Metazoa; Chordata; Mammalia; Carnivora; Canidae.
GCUGGGUGGUGCCGCGCAUUUUCUGCUUAUGCCAUGUCUACUUGGGACCCACAAAUACUCUUUCAUGAAAUGAAUUAAAACAACAGCACAUAUGUCUUCUGCUCCCUUCUGACCUUGUCUAGAGUGACUGUUUCAUGGCCUGGCUCUUUGUUUCUUAAAAGGACCAUGCCCAAGAAUCAUUGAAUAAAGCCAAAAAGCUCUUUAGGAAAAAAAAAAAAAAAAAAAAGACCCUUCAACAGAGUCCCAAAACUGCAGGAGCACCUUUAAGACAGCUGAUGGCGGUGAGGGUCAGCUUUCUCACCCACCUGAAGGAGCAGAGUCAGACCUGUGCUGGCUGAAUAUUGCUUUGUGGUGUCUGGGUUUCAUUCCCUGUUGUCUGCGGGGGAGGGAGGGAGGGAGGGAAAGAAGACUGGGGAGACAGGCAGAGUCUUCCUGAAACAGAUAUCAGAGCCUUCCUAUCAGGUUGAAAAGAUGACAAUCUUUUUCCCAUUUAAGGAAAGCAAUCAGCUCAGCUCACACAAAUGCUGCAUUUCCCUUGCAAAUGAGCUUCAUUACCAGCUUGUUUUAUGACUUUUCUCUUAGCUAGAGUGAACUUCUUUCUUAUGGCUCUGGGUCCUAGUAGAAAAUUGCCAAGGCUUUGAAUUAUAUUCUCAUCUAUAAUCACACUUAAUUAUGAAGUUUGCCACAAGGCUGUGUGUGAGUAUAUUGGAAGGAGCUAUCUUGGUCCAGUGAGAUUUCUCUCAGCUAAACACACACCCUGGAUUUGUAGAAAAUAUUCUUUUAACAUACUUUACCUUUAACAUUGAACUUAUUAAUGCCAGGUUUAUAGUCCUUAGGAAACAUUAUCAGGUAACCUGGCUCAAACUAAAAUCAAAACCAAAGUCUGAAAGUUCCGCGUCCAUAUAAUAAUUAUCCUCCUAAUGGUACCAUGUGACUUGAUUAAUAAUAUCCACUCUGGACAUACACCAUUUUACAAAAUAGCUCAUUUGCUUAGGGGAACUUAUCCUGCAAUUGUGUUGAUCGAAAAUCAGUUUUAAACGACAAUAUCUUCAAGGGUCAAGCUAUCUCUUUCUUUAGACAGUCAGUGUAAAAAUAGGCAGUGAGAAUGUGUUAAUAAUUCACAAAAUAAAAAAUAAAGAUAAUCAACAAACAUAUAAUGGUAAGACUGAACUCACCAGUGAGGGAGUAACAUGCAAAUUUAAACAAGUUACAAUUGUUCACAUAUUGAUAAAUACUGUUUAUUAAAUAAUUUAAAAACCAGUAUUUAUGGAAGUGCAAGCAGAUGGGCACACUCAGAAGUGGCUCCAUGGUGAGGAAACGGGUGUGUCCUCAUGAAAGGGAAUUGGGCAGCCAGUGUAAGCACUUGGAGUAAUGUGUCCUCCUAAAUUUAUCCUAAGGAAUAGUGAUCAGCUUCUCCUCCAUUAAAGGAUAUUUGAUGUACAAUGAUAUUCAGAGAAGCAUUGUUGAUAUAGUGAAAAAUUGAGAACACACUGUAUAUCCAGUAAUAAGGGGAAAAUGAAUAAGUUUUGAUCUCUUUUUAAGACAGAGUAUUAUGCAUCUAUGAAAACUGUGUUUUUAGGUAACAGGCAAGGUUAAUUAAAACCACAGUGAAAUAAUAUUUUAUACCCAUCAACCUGGUAAAAAUCUGAGAGUCUGACAAUAAGUCCACGAAGCUAUAUGAAAUCUAUGCACAAUGGGCAACGUCUAGUGCCCCACAAUUCCACUCCAGGUAUAGUUUCCUAGA